GUUUAUGGCCAUACCACCCUGAAUGCACCCCAUCUUGUCUGAUCUUGGAAGCUGAGCAGAGUCUGGCCUGGUUGCUACUUGGAUGGGAGAAAUCCCUAUUCUUCAUGUCACUCCAGCCCUUGGGUUGGAAAUU
RNAcentral lists this ribosomal RNA (133 nucleotides) under Microcebus murinus (gray mouse lemur). The record is from RNAcentral. Lineage: Eukaryota; Metazoa; Chordata; Mammalia; Primates; Cheirogaleidae.